CAGCUGAAGUAUACGUCCAAGUGGCCAC
RNAcentral lists this small RNA (28 nucleotides) under Bombyx mori (domestic silkworm). RNAcentral describes it as "ovarian small RNA-1287". The record is from RNAcentral. Lineage: Eukaryota; Metazoa; Arthropoda; Insecta; Lepidoptera; Bombycidae.